This 385-nucleotide ribosomal RNA is filed under the name uncultured bacterium. RNAcentral's name for it is "bacterial SSU rRNA". It matches the Rfam family "Bacterial small subunit ribosomal RNA", at positions 370 to 772 of the family's 1533-position model. The record is from RNAcentral.
AAUGGGGGCAACCCUGAUCCAGCCAUGCCGCGUGAGUGAAGAAGGCCUUAGGGUUGUAAAGCUCUUUCACCCGUGACGAUGAUGACGGUAGCGGGAGAAGAAGCCCCGGCUAAUUCCGUGCCAGCAGCCGCGGUAAUACGGAAGGGGCUAGCGUUGUUCGGAAUUACUGGGCGUAAAGCGCGCGUAGGCGGCCAUGCAAGUGAGGCGUGAAAGGCCUGGGCUCAACCUGGGAACUGCGUUUCAGACUGCACGGCUUGAGUCCGGGAGAGGGUGGUGGAAUUCCCAGUGUAGAGGUGAAAUUCGUAGAUAUGUGGAGGAACACCAAUGGCGAAGGCAGCCCCCUGGGUCGAUACUGACGCUCAUGCACGAAAGCGUGGGUAGCAAA